UAGUUUGAUCCUGGCUCAGGAUGAACGCUGGCGGCGUGCCUAAUACAUGCAAGUCGAGCGAACAGAUGGAGUGCUUGCACUCCUGACGUUAGCGGCGGACGGGUGAGUAACACGUGGGUAACCUACCUAUAAGACUGGGAUAACUUCGGGAAACCGGAGCUAAUACCGGAUAAUAUUUAGCUUCGCAUGAAGCAAUAGUGAAAGACGGUUUUGCUGUCACUUAUAGAUGGACCUGCGGUGUAUUAGCUAGUUGGUGAGGUAACGGCUCACCAAGGCAACGAUACAUAGCCGACCUGAGAGGGUGAUCGGCCACACUGGGACUGAGACACGGCCCAGACUCCUACGGGAGGCAGCAGUAGGGAAUCUUCCGCAAUGGACGAAAGUCUGACGGAGCAACGCCGCGUGAGUGAAGAAGGUUUUCGGAUCGUAAAACUCUGUUGUAAGGGAAGAACAAGUACGUUAGUAACUGAACGUACCUUGACGGUACCUUACCAGAAAGCCACGGCUAAC
Molecule: ribosomal RNA, 510 nt
Filed under: Staphylococcus sp. KS-SP_75
Lineage: Bacteria; Bacillati; Bacillota; Bacilli; Caryophanales; Staphylococcaceae
Description: bacterial SSU rRNA
Rfam family: Bacterial small subunit ribosomal RNA
Source: RNAcentral